AUGACUGUACCACGUUGAAUCACCGGUUCUCGUACGAUCACCGAAGUUAAGCAACCUCAAGGGUGGUCAGUACCUAGUUGGAUGACCUUUUGGGAAUAAUAAGUGU
Molecule: non-coding RNA, 106 nt
Organism: Acanthosepion pharaonis
Lineage: Eukaryota; Metazoa; Mollusca; Cephalopoda; Sepiida; Sepiidae
Source: the annotation of a GenBank genome assembly